Molecule: ribosomal RNA, 610 nt
Filed under: Limnobacter sp.
Lineage: Bacteria; Pseudomonadati; Pseudomonadota; Betaproteobacteria; Burkholderiales; Burkholderiaceae
Description: bacterial SSU rRNA
Rfam family: Bacterial small subunit ribosomal RNA
Source: RNAcentral
GCCUCGUGGCGGCUGCCUUACCAUGCAAGUCGAACGGUAACAGGGAGCUUGCUCCGCUGACGAGUGGCGAACGGGUGAGUAAUACAUCGGAACGUGCCCAGUAAUGGGGGAUAGCUCGGCGAAAGCCGGAUUAAUACCGCAUACGCCCUGAGGGGGAAAGUGGGGGACCGCAAGGCCUCACGUUAUUGGAGCGGCCGAUGGCUGAUUAGCUAGUUGGUAGGGUAAAGGCCUACCAAGGCGACGAUCAGUAGCUGGUCUGAGAGGACGAUCAGCCACACUGGGACUGAGACACGGCCCAGACUCCUACGGGAGGCAGCAGUGGGGAAUUUUGGACAAUGGGGGAAACCCUGAUCCAGCAAUGCCGCGUGUGCGAAGAAGGCCUUCGGGUUGUAAAGCACUUUUGUCAGGGAAGAAAUCCUUUGGGCUAAUACCCUAGGGGGAUGACGGUACCUGAAGAAUAAGCACCGGCUAACUACGUGCCAGCAGCCGCGGUAAUACGUAGGGUGCAAGCGUUAAUCGGAAUUACUGGGCGUAAAGCGUGCGCAGGCGGUUGUGUAAGACAGGUGUGAAAUCCCCGGGCUUAACCUGGGAAUUGCAUUUGUGACUGCAC